GUGAGGAAUUUUCCGCAAUGGGCGAAAGCCUGACGGAGCAAUGCCGCGUGAAGGAUGAAGGCCUAUGGGUUGUAAACUUCUUUUCUCAGAAAAGAAUUAUGACGGUAUCUGAGGAAUAAGCAUCGGCUAACUCUGUGCCAGCAGCCGCGGUAAGACAGAGGAUGCAAGCGUUAUCCGGAAUGAUUGGGCGUAAAGCGUCUGUAGGUUGUUUAAAAAGUAUUCUGUCAAAGAUUAGGGCUUAACCCUAGAUAGGCAGAAUAAACUUUUAAGCUAGAGUUUGGUAGAGGCAGAGGGAAUUCCCGGUGGAGCGGUGAAAUGCGGAGAUAUCGGGAGGAACACCAAAGGCGAAGGCACUCUGCUGGGCCAAUACUAACACUGAGAGACGAAAGCGAGGGGAGCAAAUGGGAUUAGAAACCCGGGUAGUCC
RNAcentral lists this ribosomal RNA (426 nucleotides) under uncultured bacterium. RNAcentral describes it as "bacterial SSU rRNA". It matches the Rfam family "Bacterial small subunit ribosomal RNA", at positions 354 to 796 of the family's 1533-position model. The record is from RNAcentral.